GUAGGUGGCAAGCGUUACUCGGAAUCACUAGGCGUAAAGCGCAGGUAGGCGGUUUGAUAAGUCUGUUGUGAAAGCUCCCGGCUUAACUGGGAGAGGUCAACGGAAACUAUCAGGCUAGAGUGUGGUAGAGGUAGCUGGAAUUCCCGGUGUAGCGGUGAAAUGCGUAGAUAUCGGGAGGAAUACCUAUGGCGAAAGCAGGCUACUGGACCAUCACUGACGCUGAUCUGCGGAAGCUAGGGGAGCAAACAGGAUUAGAUACCCUGGUAGUCCUAGCCCUAAACGAUGCUCAUUAGGUGUGGGAGGUAUCGACCCCUUCCGCGCCGUAGCUAACGCAUUAAAUGAGCCGCCUGGGGAGUACGGCCGCAAGGUUG
This 371-nucleotide ribosomal RNA is filed under the name uncultured bacterium. Its description in RNAcentral is "bacterial SSU rRNA". It matches the Rfam family "Bacterial small subunit ribosomal RNA", at positions 527 to 896 of the family's 1533-position model. The record is from RNAcentral.